CCUACGGGGGGCAGCAGUGAGGAAUAUUGGUCAAUGGGAGAGAUCCUGAACCAGCCAAGCCGCGUGAGGGAAGACGGCCCUAUGGGUUGUAAACCUCUUUUGUCGGAGAACAAAACCCGGGACGUGUCCCGGACUGCGUGUAUCCGAAGAAAAAGCAUCGGCUAACUCCGUGCCAGCAGCCGCGGUAAUACGGAGGGCGCGAGCGUUAAUCGGAAUUACUGGGCGUAAAGCGCGCGUAGGCUGUUGUGUAAGUUGGGGGUGAAAUCCCACGGCUCAACCGUGGAACAGCCCUUGAUACUGCGCGA
RNAcentral lists this ribosomal RNA (305 nucleotides) under uncultured bacterium. Its description in RNAcentral is "bacterial SSU rRNA". It matches the Rfam family "Bacterial small subunit ribosomal RNA", at positions 338 to 640 of the family's 1533-position model. The record is from RNAcentral.